CAAUUCCCAUGAGAGGCGGCUAGCCACCGACUCUGUAGCGAACCUGCGUGCAUAACCCGCAAGGGUGUGUAUGAAGCCAGGUGUAGCGAGUGUGCAGGCCGCGUGACUGAGUUCCGAAAAGAUAUGGUUGUGGUCCAUGAGGAUAACCGAGCGCGAGCUUGGGAAAGCCGACGGCAUCAAGGCGCCGGAAGGCUGUAGUCCUUGGAGCGCUAGGGCGAGCGACGAGGACACCACCGGGAUCGACGAGCG
This 249-nucleotide non-coding RNA is filed under the name Thiocapsa rosea. Lineage: Bacteria; Pseudomonadati; Pseudomonadota; Gammaproteobacteria; Chromatiales; Chromatiaceae. The record is from RNAcentral.